This is a long non-coding RNA of Quercus robur (English oak), 605 nucleotides long. RefSeq lists it as uncharacterized. NCBI's taxonomy places the organism in Eukaryota, Viridiplantae, Streptophyta, Magnoliopsida, Fagales, Fagaceae. The transcript has 2 exons. The record is from RefSeq and is a predicted model, not a curated record.
CGGGCCUGUUUGUUUACACACAAAUAGUAUUUGUAUUCUCUGUCCUGUGUGUUCUGCUUUUGGUAUACAAGAUGGUUGUCUCAAUGCCUAGCUAACAUUACGAGACUGACACAAAUUUAUGAUGUGGAGGUAGUCUGGGACCCUGGGUGCCUUGACAAUUAGCAGGAGAUAAAUACUUGUCUUGAAUUUGCUUGCCUAUUCUGCCUAUGUUCCAGGGUUCUUGACCGCAUAUUAUGUAUUAAACUUGAUCUUCUUCUUCUUCUUCUUCUUUUUUUCAGUAAAUGUUAACUAUGGUUGCACAAGCUUUCAUUUUGAUCAAAUUUGACAAAGAGAGUGAAUAUGUAGCUUACCUGGGUGAGCAUUGGGAAUCCUGAUAUAGUCUUCAAAACAUCUAUGUCUCGGUCAUUGAAGAACAUCGGGUUUCUUUCCAAGACAGAAGUUGAAGGGAGCCAUUUUUGAUUCACCCACCAGUGUAGUAGUCCAGGAGCAUGAUUUGCAAACCACAUUGACCACCUCACAAGUUUCUUCCUGUAGUCAUCCUUUACCACUCUAUCAGGUAGAGAACGCCACCAGUAAUUCACAACCGGGACUACAAAAGACACACC